AUAUGCUUACCUCAAAGACUAGCCAUGCAAGCCCAAGUUCAUACCUUGACACGGUGAAACUGCGAAUCGCUCAGUAAAUCAGUUAUUGUUUAUCCGACUGUACCUCGAAGUGGGACGGGGCGCCUCACGGUGCCUCGCCUGCAACACACACACUGGAUAACUGUGGGAAACCAGAGCUAAUACAUGUCACCUGCUGCCCCUAUGCUGGGUAGCGUGCAUUUAUUCGCCCACUCUGUCACGAGAAACCGACCCGGCCAGCUAGGGGCGACCCGGAGGGCCGGAGCUGGUGAUUCUGAAUAACUGAUGCUGAUCGCGACACGGGUCCCCCUCACCAGGGGGCAACCCAGCGACGUCUCGGUCAAAUUUCUGCCCCAUCAUACCGGUUGGUAGGGUAGCGGCCUACCAAGGUGGUGACGGGUAACGGGGAAUCAGGGUUCGAUUCCGGAGAGGGAGCCUGAGAGACGGCUACCACAUCCAAGGAUGGCAGCAGGCGCGCAAACUAUCCAAUGCACAAUGUGUGAGAUGGUGACGAGGUGUACCGGCGUCCGGUGACUCAGUCACUUGGGCUACCGAUUAGACGCUAAGCCAGCCCGCUAGCGGUCAGUUCAACAGGAGGGCCAGUCUGGUGCCAGCAGCCGCGGUAAUACCAGCUCCUGUAGGCUAUGCCUUAGUUGUUGCGGUUAAAAAGUUCGUAGUUGAAAUUCGGCACGCAGCUGUGCUGCCCUCCAGCGGGUGGCCCGGUGCAGCGCUAGAAGGGGCCGGUCUUGUGCGCCCUGGAGUGCCCUGCUGCACCAGCCCCCGAAGGACGCAAGUGGCGCACGGUGCAGCGUGUCUCUCGUGAGCUGCCUCGCACCGAGAGGUGCGCGGUGGUUGCGACAAAAUUGUGCCUUGAGUAAAACAGAGUGCUCCAAGCAGGCGUGACCGGAGGCUGGGACACUUGAUUGUGCCCGGCGGAAGAUCACACGCUCGCAUGCUCUAGCAGGGAACGAAUGUUCAAUUGCUUGAACCACCUCGCUGUGCUAGUUGGUCGGUAACGCGCCUUUCCUCAGCGUUAGGCCUAGCCAGCGUGCGUCCGUCAGAGUACCCGGAGGGUCUGCGAAGAGCCCACCGUCAGCGACAGCCCGGAGUGAGAAUGUAGCGUGAUACAAAAGGGCCGGGCAGCAGGCCUCUGGAGAUGCUGCCACAGCAAGUGGUGCCGGAGGCGAGACGGAGCGCGCCGGGCACUACACCUAAGGCGGAGGUCAGGCAGUAACCAGCGCUCCCGCAAGGGACGCGCCCUGUCUCUGCUAGUGCCGACAAGGGGCCGGUUCGCACCAUCUCCGGCCAUCCACGGCAGCGCCCAGAGAGCCAGCGCUCGCGUUCCCGUACGUGCAAACAACCACCACCGAUCCGGGUGACGGACCGCGGACUCGCAGGGGACGGCCAGCGCGCCCAGGCAGGAGGCGCUCCACGACUGAGGCGCAAUGCCUGGCCUGGGACGCGCCGUCCUGGUGUACGCCCCCGGGAGUACUGCUCUGGCGAGAGACGCCUGGGUAUCGGUUAAGAGAAGCAUUUGGGGGCAUUGGUACUUGGCCGCGAGAGGUGAAAUUCUUAGACCGGUCAAAGACUGACAAUUGCGAAGGCAUCUGCCAAGGGUGUUUUCAUUAAUCAAGAACGAAGGUUGGAGGAUCGAUGACGAUUAGAUACCGUCGUAGUUCCAACAGUAAACUAUGCCAACCAGGGCUCAGCCCCACACACAAAUGGUCGUUGUCCAGGCGCUGCCGGCGUGCGCCCCCCGGGUCCACGGCAGGCCGGGACCUGAGAGGACCAGGGUUGGGCCCCCCGGGAAACCUAAAGUGUUUGGGUUCCGGGGGGAGUAUGGUCGCAAGGCUGAAACUUAAAGGAAUUGACGGAAGGGCACCACCAGGAGUGGAACCUGCGGCUCAAUUUGACUCAACACGGGGAACCUUACCAGGUCCGGCCACGCGUACGAUCGCCAGACUGAUAGCUCUUGCGUGAUUGCGUGAAAGGUGGUGCAUGGCCAGUCUUAGUCCGUGGAGUGAUUUGUCAGCUCAAGUGCUCGAACGUGUAGUGAGGUGCGGGUCGGGUUCCGGUGGUGCUGCUGCGACAAGCAGGGUGCUGCCCCCCGGCCCUCCACCCACAGCAAUAGAUACAUACGACGCAACUGCGACCGCUGUUUUAUGUUCGGGUGGGUUGUCAGGGCCGGGCAGAGAGGCGCUCUGGCCUCCGCAGCCCCGGGUUCCCGCAGUCAGAUGCCUGUGAGGGUGCACCGACGACCGAGCCCGGGGCGCCACGCGGUUCCAGAGUGUCGCGCUCCCGGUCAGCCACCCCAGACUACACCGGGACUAAUGGAGAAAGUGAAAUCUGUUUGAAGCGCAGCCAUACUAGGUCAGUGAUGCCCUGAGAUGCCCUGGGAUGCACGCGGGUUACACUGGUUGCAACAGAGAGUCGAGCAAUUGUCCCAGGCCGAGAGGCUGAGGUAAUCUGUGCAAUAGCAACCGUGCUGGGGAUUGAGGCCUGAAACGGCCUCAUGAACUUGGAAUUCCUCGUAAGUACGGGUCAUCAGCCCGUGCUGACUACGUCCCUGCCCUUUGUACACACCGCCCGUCGCUACUACCGAUCGGAUGGCUGGGUGAGGACAUGGGAUGGCGGGGGAGACGGGCGC
This 2665-nucleotide ribosomal RNA is filed under the name Sphaerospora diminuta. RNAcentral's name for it is "partial 18S ribosomal RNA". The stretch from base 282 to 2665 matches the Rfam family "Eukaryotic small subunit ribosomal RNA". The record is from RNAcentral. Lineage: Eukaryota; Metazoa; Cnidaria; Myxozoa; Bivalvulida; Sphaerosporidae.